GGGAGAGGUGAAAUUCCGUGAUCCUCGCCAGACCAACUACAGCGAAAGCAUUUGCCAAGAAUGUCUUCAUUAAUCAAGAACGAAAGUCAGAGGUUCGAAGACGAUCAGAUACCGUCGUAGUUCUGACCAUAAACGAUGCCAGCUUGGAAGUGGCGAUGGUUGUAUUUCAUGACCCCGCCACGGCCCGUCGGGAAACCAUAAGCGUUUGGGUUCCGGGGGAAGUAUGGUUGCAAAGCUGAAACUUAAAGGAAUUGACGGAAGGGCACCACCAGGAGUGGAGCCUGCGGCUUAAUUUGACUCAACACGGGAAAACUCACCCGGCCCGGACACUGCAAGGAUUGACAGAUUGAGAGCUCUUUCUCGAUUCGGUGGAUGGUGGUGCAUGGCCGUUCUUAGUUGGUGGAGUGAUUUGUCUGGUUAAUUCCGAUAACGAACGAGACUCUAGCCUACUAACUAGUUCGCCGAUCUGCUUCUGUGGGUCGGUAAUAAACUUCUUAGAGGGACAAGUGGCGCUUAGCCACGCGAGAUGGAGCAAUAACAGGUCUGUGAUGCCCUUAGAUGUCCGGGGCCGCACGCGCGCUACACUGAAAGAAUCAACGUGUUUCAAGGCACCUGAUCCGAGAGGGUUGGGCAAUCCGUUGAACCUCUUUCGUGCUAGGGAUUGGGGCUUGUAAUUCUUCCCCAUGAACGAGGAAUUCCCAGUAAGCACGAGUCAUCAGCUCGUGUUGAUUACGUCCCUGCCCUUUGUACACACCGCCCGUCGCUACUACCGAUUGGAUGGCUUAGUGAGACCUUUGGACUGGACCGUCUUUCGGGGGCUUCGGCUCUCUCUGGCGUGGCUGGGAAGAAGGUCGAACUGGACUGUCUAGAGGAAGUAAAA
Molecule: ribosomal RNA, 880 nt
Filed under: Spirobranchus sinuspersicus
Lineage: Eukaryota; Metazoa; Annelida; Polychaeta; Sabellida; Serpulidae
Description: SSU rRNA
Rfam family: Eukaryotic small subunit ribosomal RNA
Source: RNAcentral